Petromyzon marinus (sea lamprey) is the source of this 285-nucleotide non-coding RNA. The record is from RefSeq and is a predicted model, not a curated record. Lineage: Eukaryota; Metazoa; Chordata; Hyperoartia; Petromyzontiformes; Petromyzontidae.
AGGUUCUAAAGAUGGGCACAGCCCAACUUUGAGUCCCAAGGACACGAGGAACAUGCAUCGCUUUGGGGGUGGCCACACUCUGAGUGACGGGGACGUCUUGAAGAUAAUGAAAAUGUACGACUGUGCCAUGGCCCCACAACAAUCUGUUAUGGUACCAGUGCUAUGGAACGGGCCGUCUUCUACAGGACGGGCAUUUAAGGAAGCAGGGAUUUUCCACAGCCACACAGUAGACAGCCAGGUCGGGGUCUGGAUGAAGCCAAAAAAUGGAGCGGAGAACAAAAGCAA